Molecule: ribosomal RNA, 2341 nt
Filed under: Escherichia coli
Lineage: Bacteria; Pseudomonadati; Pseudomonadota; Gammaproteobacteria; Enterobacterales; Enterobacteriaceae
Description: partial 23S ribosomal RNA
Rfam family: Bacterial large subunit ribosomal RNA
Source: RNAcentral
CCCCGGCGAGGGGAGUGAAAAAGAACCUGAAACCGUGUACGUACAAGCAGUGGGAGCACAGAGCAAUCUGUGUGACUGCGUACCUUUUGUAUAAUGGGUCAGCGACUUAUAUUCUGUAGCAAGGUUAACCGAAUAGGGGAGCCGAAGGGAAACCGAGUCUUAACUGGGCGUUAAGUUGCAGGGUAUAGACCCGAAACCCGGUGAUCUAGCCAUGGGCAGGUUGAAGGUUGGGUAACACUAACUGGAGGACCGAACCGACUAAUGUUGAAAAAUUAGCGGAUGACUUGUGGCUGGGGGUGAAAGGCCAAUCAAACCGGGAGAUAGCUGGUUCUCCCCGAAAGCUAUUUAGGUAGCGCCUCGUGAAUUCAUCUCCGGGGGUAGAGCACUGUUUCGGCAAGGGGGUCAUCCCGACUUACCAACCCGAUGCAAACUGCGAAUACCGGAGAAUGUUAUCACGGGAGACACACGGCGGGUGCUAACGUCCGUCGUGAAGAGGGAAACAACCCAGACCGCCAGCUAAGGUCCCAAAGUCAUGGUUAAGUGGGAAACGAUGUGGGAAGGCCCAGACAGCCAGGAUGUUGGCUUAGAAGCAGCCAUCAUUUAAAGAAAGCGUAAUAGCUCACUGGUCGAGUCGGCCUGCGCGGAAGAUGUAACGGGGCUAAACCAUGCACCGAAGCUGCGGCAGCGACGCUGAUGCGUUGUUGGGUAGGGGAGCGUUCUGUAAGCCUGUGAAGGUGUGCUGUGAGGCAUGCUGGAGGUAUCAGAAGUGCGAAUGCUGACAUAAGUAACGAUAAAGCGGGUGAAAAGCCCGCUCGCCGGAAGACCAAGGGUUCCUGUCCAACGUUAAUCGGGGCAGGGUGAGUCGACCCCUAAGGCGAGGCCGAAAGGCGUAGUCGAUGGGAAACAGGUUAAUAUUCCUGUACUUGGUGUUACUGCGAAGGGGGGACGGAGAAGGCUAUGUUGGCCGGGCGACGGUUGUCCCGGUUUAAGCGUGUAGGCUGGUUUUCCAGGCAAAUCCGGAAAACUAAGGCUGAGGCGUGAUGACGAGGCACUACGGUGCUGAAGCAACAAAUGCCCUGCUUCCAGGAAAAGCCUCUAAGCAUCAGGUAACAUCAAAUCGUACCCCAAACCGACACAGGUGGUCAGGUAGAGAAUACCAAGGCGCUUGAGAGAACUCGGGUGAAGGAACUAGGCAAAAUGGUGCCGUAACUUCGGGAGAAGGCACGCUGAUAUGUAGGUGAAGUCCCUCGCGGAUGGAGCUGAAAUCAGUCGAAGAUACCAGCUGGCUGCAACUGUUUAUUAAAAACACAGCACUGUGCAAACACGAAAGUGGACGUAUACGGUGUGACGCCUGCCCGGUGCCGGAAGGUUAAUUGAUGGGGUCAGCGCAAGCGAAGCUCUUGAUCGAAGCCCCGGUAAACGGCGGCCGUAACUAUAACGGUCCUAAGGUAGCGAAAUUCCUUGUCGGGUAAGUUCCGACCUGCACGAAUGGCGUAAUGAUGGCCAGGCUGUCUCCACCCGAGACUCAGUGAAAUUGAACUCGCUGUGAAGAUGCAGUGUACCCGCGGCAAGACGGAAAGACCCCGUGAACCUUUACUAUAGCUUGACACUGAACAUUGAGCCUUGAUGUGUAGGAUAGGUGGGAGGCUUUGAAGUGUGGACGCCAGUCUGCAUGGAGCCGACCUUGAAAUACCACCCUUUAAUGUUUGAUGUUCUAACGUUGACCCGUAAUCCGGGUUGCGGACAGUGUCUGGUGGGUAGUUUGACUGGGGCGGUCUCCUCCUAAAGAGUAACGGAGGAGCACGAAGGUUGGCUAAUCCUGGUCGGACAUCAGGAGGUUAGUGCAAUGGCAUAAGCCAGCUUGACUGCGAGCGUGACGGCGCGAGCAGGUGCGAAAGCAGGUCAUAGUGAUCCGGUGGUUCUGAAUGGAAGGGCCAUCGCUCAACGGAUAAAAGGUACUCCGGGGAUAACAGGCUGAUACCGCCCAAGAGUUCAUAUCGACGGCGGUGUUUGGCACCUCGAUGUCGGCUCAUCACAUCCUGGGGCUGAAGUAGGUCCCAAGGGUAUGGCUGUUCGCCAUUUAAAGUGGUACGCGAGCUGGGUUUAGAACGUCGUGAGACAGUUCGGUCCCUAUCUGCCGUGGGCGCUGGAGAACUGAGGGGGGCUGCUCCUAGUACGAGAGGACCGGAGUGGACGCAUCACUGGUGUUCGGGUUGUCAUGCCAAUGGCACUGCCCGGUAGCUAAAUGCGGAAGAGAUAAGUGCUGAAAGCAUCUAAGCACGAAACUUGCCCCGAGAUGAGUUCUCCCUGACUCCUUGAGAGUCCUGAAGGAACGUUGAAG